This 389-nucleotide ribosomal RNA is filed under the name uncultured delta proteobacterium. Its description in RNAcentral is "bacterial SSU rRNA". It matches the Rfam family "Bacterial small subunit ribosomal RNA", at positions 9 to 389 of the family's 1533-position model. Lineage: Bacteria; Deltaproteobacteria. The record is from RNAcentral.
GAGUUUGAUCGUGGCUCAGAACGAACGCUGGCGGCGCGCCUAACACAUGCAAGUCGAACGUGAAAGGGGGCAACCCUGAGUAAAGUGGCGCACGGGUGAGUAACGCGUAGGUGAUCUACCUCUUUGAUUGGGAUAACUAGCCGAAAGGUUAGCUAAUACUAGGUAGUGCGCAGGAUUCGUAAAGAAUUCUGCGGGGAAGGUGCGUAGCAAUACGCUAUUGCAAAGAGAUGAGCCUGCGUCUCAUUAGCUAGUGGUAGGUAAUGGCUACCAAGGCGAUGAUGGGUAGCUGGUCUGAGAGGACGGAUCAGCCACACUGGAACUGAACACGGUCCAGACUCCUACGGGAGGCAGCAGUGGGGAAUUUUGCACAAUGGACGCAAGUCUGAUGC